This 840-nucleotide ribosomal RNA is filed under the name Triticum aestivum (bread wheat). Its description in RNAcentral is "partial small subunit ribosomal RNA". Lineage: Eukaryota; Viridiplantae; Streptophyta; Magnoliopsida; Poales; Poaceae. The record is from RNAcentral.
AUGCGGCUGGCUGCGGUCAUUCCUCAGAUCAUAUACCCUGCGCAAUCGGCUUUCCAAAAAGGAAAAUGUAUUCACGACAGUUAUCUAUACAUCCAAGGAUGCGUAAAAUCUCUUCACAGAAGAAACAAGCCUGCUCCGCUCUUCAAAUUAGACAUAGAAAAAGCAUUCGACUCCAUUUCUUGGGAUUAUCUUCUAGAACUGCUUCAACAUCUAGGCUUCCCUGCAAGAUGGAGAAACUGGAUCUCCAUUCUCCUCUCCACGGUGACAUCCUCCUGUUUGUUAAAUGGUGAUGCAGGGCAGGCCAUUUGCCACUUGCAGGGCCUGAGGCAAGGCGAUCUACUCUCCCCUUUGCUAUUCAUCAUCGCCAUCGACCCCCUCUACCGCCUCCUCGACGCUGCUGUAAAUCUUGGCAUCUUCUCUCCUUUGCCAGGAAGAGGUGCCAGCAUGAGGAUUAGCCUCUAUGCUGACGACGCUGUGAUCUUCGCCAACCCGAUCAGAGAGGAGGUCGACUCGCUGCUACAUCUGCUCAAUCUUUUCGGGGACGCCUCUGGUCUUCGCCUAAACCAAAGUAAAUCCUCGGUGGCCCUGAUUAGGUGCAACAGUAUAGACAUCGCCGACGUGCUGCAUAGUUUCGGCGGCUCCAUAGUGGGAUUCCCAAUGACUUACCUAGGCCUCCCGGUUUCCAUUAGUAGAAUUCGUUUAGUGCACCUUCAAUUCCUCCUCGAUAGAAUUAGGGCUUGCCUCACGGGAUGGAAGGGUAGGCUUAUGAAUCUUGCUGGUCGUAGAAUCCUCGUCCGUAGCGUGCUGUCAGCACUACCAACUGAAGGAAAUAUGCCCUAG